AGAGGGUGAUGAAAGGUAUGGUUACUGUAGUAUAUAUGUAAGUAAGAUUCGCAAUACUGGCAUGUAUUCAGUUGCUGAACUUGGCUGUAAUUCCAGUAAUUAUGCAACUUCACUGUAAUCUUGCCUGCAAAACCCUAGACGAGGAAUUAAAACUAAAACCAUCAAUUUUGAUGUCUUGUAAAAGUAAAUUUGUGCUAUAGUUUGCUAGUAAUAAUAUUAGCACCUUUAAUUAGACAGCCUUUGUAGGCUGAUAGUACUGUCAUUUCCUUCCUAAAGCAGCUGCAGUA
This 287-nucleotide unclassified non-coding RNA is filed under the name Hevea brasiliensis (rubber tree). Lineage: Eukaryota; Viridiplantae; Streptophyta; Magnoliopsida; Malpighiales; Euphorbiaceae. The record is from RNAcentral.